GAUGAACGCUGGCGGCGUGCCUAAUACAUGCAAGUCGAGCGAAUGGAUUAAGAGCUUGCUCUUAUGAAGUUAGCGGCGGACGGGUGAGUAACACGUGGGUAACCUGCCCAUAAGACUGGGAUAACUCCGGGAAACCGGGGCUAAUACCGGGUGACAUUUUGAACCGCAAGGUUCGAAAUUGAAAGGCGGCUUCGGCCGUCACUUAUGGAUGGACCCGGGAGGCAUUAGCCAGUUGGUGAGGUAACGGCUCACCAAGGCAACGAUGCGUAGCCGACCUGAGAGGGUGAUCGGCCACACUGGGACUGAGACACGGCCCAGACUCCUACGGGAGGCAGCAGUAGGGAAUCUUCCGCAAUGGACGAAAGUCUGACGGAGCAACGCCGCGUGAGUGAUGAAGGCUUUCGGGUCGUAAAACUCUGUUGUUAGGGAAGAACAAGUGCUAGUUGAAUAAGCUGGCACCUUGACGGUACCUAACCAGAAAGCCACGGCUAACUACGUGCCAGCCGCCGCCGUAA
This 515-nucleotide ribosomal RNA is filed under the name uncultured bacterium. Its description in RNAcentral is "partial 16S ribosomal RNA". It matches the Rfam family "Bacterial small subunit ribosomal RNA", at positions 28 to 523 of the family's 1533-position model. The record is from RNAcentral.